CCUACGGGAGGCUGCAGUGGGGAAUAUUGCACAAUGGGCGCAAGCCUGAUGCAGCCAUGCCGCGUGUGUGAAGAAGGCCUUCGGGUUGUAAAGCACUUUCAGCGGGGAGGAAGGCGGUGAGGUUAAUAACCUCAUCGAUUGACGUUACCCGCAGAAGAAGCACCGGCUAACUCCGUGCCAGCAGCCGCGGUAAUACGGAGGGUGCAAGCGUUAAUCGGAAUUACUGGGCGUAAAGCGCACGCAGGCGGUCUGUCAAGUCGGAUGUGAAAUCCCCGGGCUCAACCUGGGAACUGCAUUCGAAACUGGCAGGCUAGAGUCUUGUAGAGGGGGGUAGAAUUCCAGGUGUAGCGGUGAAAAGCGUAGAGAUCUGGAGGAAUACCGGUGGCGAAGGCGGCCCCCUGGACAAAGACUGACGCUCAGGUGCGAAAGCGUGGGGAGCAAACAGGAUUAGAUACCCCAGUAGUC
Molecule: ribosomal RNA, 465 nt
Filed under: uncultured Klebsiella sp.
Lineage: Bacteria; Pseudomonadati; Pseudomonadota; Gammaproteobacteria; Enterobacterales; Enterobacteriaceae
Description: bacterial SSU rRNA
Rfam family: Bacterial small subunit ribosomal RNA
Source: RNAcentral